RNAcentral lists this ribosomal RNA (543 nucleotides) under Pseudomelatoma moesta. RNAcentral describes it as "partial 12S ribosomal RNA". The record is from RNAcentral. Lineage: Eukaryota; Metazoa; Mollusca; Gastropoda; Neogastropoda; Pseudomelatomidae.
ACCAAGAAAUUAAGUCAUAUCUUAAUGGUAAAAAGACAGUUAAAUAUUUAAAAACUUUAGUUAUUUAAUUAUUUAUAAAAAGGUAAAAUUUGAAUAUAAAUACUUAAAUCAAAAAUAACUUGUAAGUUGAAGCUGUGAAAGCCUUGGGGGAAACUGGGAUUAGAUACCCCAUUAUUCUUGGUCUUAAAUUGAAUAUAUCUACCAGAGUACUAUGAAUAAAACAAAAUUUAAAACUCAAAGAGCUUGGCGGUGUUUUAGACCACUUAGGGGAACCUGUCUCAUAAUCGAUAAUCCACGAUAUACCUGACCUUUUUUUGUAAAACAACUUGUAUACCGUUGUCGUCAGGUAACUUUUUAGAAAUCAGAAGUUAGCUAUAAGCUUUAAGCUUAGACGUCAAAUCAAGGUGCAGUCUAUAAAAAGGAGAAGAUGGGUUACAAUUAUAAAUUUAUAAUAACGGAAAACUAUUAAAAUUAAUAGAUGGAAGGAGGAYUUGAAAGUAAAUUGAACUAUAAAAAUAUUUUGAAUGAGGCUCUGAAACGUGC